GAAAUGCGAUAAGUAAUGUGAAUUGCAGAAUUCAGUGAAUCAUCGAAUCUUUGAACGCACAUUGCGCCCGCCAGUAUUCUGGCGGGCAUGCCUGUUCGAGCGUCAUUUCAACCAUCAAGCCCCCGGGCCUGUGUUGGGGACCUGCGGCUGCCCGCAGGCCCCGAAAACCAGUGGCGGGCUCGCUGUCACCCCGAGCGUAGUAGCAACACCUCGCCCAGGGAGUGCCGCGGGCACCGGCCGUAAAACCUCCUCUCGCCCCCCCGCGGGAGGGAACACCCCAAAGGUUGACCUCGGAUCAGGUAGGAAGACCCGCUGAACUUAA
Molecule: unclassified non-coding RNA, 322 nt
Filed under: uncultured Chaetomiaceae
Lineage: Eukaryota; Fungi; Ascomycota; Sordariomycetes; Sordariales
Description: sequence contains ITS1
Rfam family: 5.8S ribosomal RNA (bases 1-105)
Source: RNAcentral